Molecule: ribosomal RNA, 446 nt
Filed under: uncultured bacterium
Lineage: Bacteria
Description: bacterial SSU rRNA
Rfam family: Bacterial small subunit ribosomal RNA
Source: RNAcentral
UAACGAAUAUUCCGCAAUGGACGAAAGUCUGACGGAGCAAUGCCGCGUGCAGGAUGAAGCGGUUUCGCCGUGUAAACUGCUGUCAGGGGCAGGAAAAACUGAUCCGCCCCAAAGGAAGAGACGGCUAACCCUGUGCCAGCAGCCGCGGUAAUACAGGGGUCUCGAGCGUUAAUCGGAAUCACUGGGCUUAAAGGGUGCGUAGGCGGAUCCGUAAGCGCUUUGUGAAAUCCCCCGGCUCAACCGGGGAACUGCAGGGCGAACUGCGGAUCUUGAGGAAACUAGAGGCCGGUAGAACGAUUGGUGGAGCGGUGGAAUGCGUAGAUAUCAAUCGGAAUGCCAAAAGUGAAGACAGCCGGCUGGGGUUUUCCUGACGCUGAGGCACGAAAGCGUGGGAGCAAACCGGAUUAGAUACCCCCGUAGUCCCUGAGCGGGCUGGCAAGGCGCAU